GGUCAAGUUAUUAAGGGUGCAGGGCGGAUGCCUUGGCACUAGGAGCCGAUGAAGGACGUGAUAAGCUGCGAUAAGCUUCGGGGAGUUGCACGUAAACUUUGAUCCGAAGAUUUCCGAAUGAGGAAACUCACUUAGAGUAAUGUCUAAGUAUCAUUAAGUGAAUACAUAGCUUAAUGAGGGGAACUCAGGGAACUGAAACAUCUAAGUACCUGAAGGAAGAGAAAGAAAUUCGAUUCCGUAAGUAGCGGCGAGCGAACGCGGAUUAGCCCAAACCAAUAAAGUUUUCUUUAUUGGGGUUGCGGACAUAUCAUAACGAAGAGGUAUCGUAAUUGAAGAGGUUUGGAAAGACCCACCACAGAAGGUAAUAGUCCUGUAUGUUAAACGAGAAGACUUCAGAUAUGAUCCAGAGUACCACGGGACACGUGAAACCCUGUGGGAAGCAGGAGGGACCACCCUCCAAGGCUAAAUACUACCUAGUGACCGAUAGCGUAUAGUACCGUGAGGGAAAGGUGAAAAGAACCCCGGGAGGGGAGUGAAAUAGAACCUGAAACCCUGCACUUACAAGCUGUGGAAGCACAUUUCUUGUGUGACCGCGUACUUUUUGUAGAACGGGCCAACGAGUUACGUUAAGUAGCAAGGUUAAGCACUUAAGGUGCGGAGCCGUAGCGAAAGCGAGUUUUAACUGAGCGUUCAGUUA
This 697-nucleotide ribosomal RNA is filed under the name Clostridioides difficile. RNAcentral's name for it is "partial 23S ribosomal RNA". It matches the Rfam family "Bacterial large subunit ribosomal RNA", at positions 1 to 702 of the family's 2925-position model. Lineage: Bacteria; Bacillati; Bacillota; Clostridia; Peptostreptococcales; Peptostreptococcaceae. The record is from RNAcentral.